GGGGAUCUAGCUCAGUGGUAGAGCGCUUGCCUAGCAAGCACAAGGCCCUGGGUUCGGUCCUCAGCUCCG
This 69-nucleotide transfer RNA is filed under the name Rattus norvegicus (Norway rat). It matches the Rfam family "tRNA". From Rfam's summary of the family: Transfer RNA (tRNA) molecules are approximately 80 nucleotides in length. Their secondary structure includes four short double-helical elements and three loops (D, anti-codon, and T loops). The record is from Rfam by way of RNAcentral. Lineage: Eukaryota; Metazoa; Chordata; Mammalia; Rodentia; Muridae.